RNAcentral lists this transfer RNA (72 nucleotides) under Scleropages formosus (Asian bonytongue). It matches the Rfam family "tRNA". From Rfam's summary of the family: Transfer RNA (tRNA) molecules are approximately 80 nucleotides in length. Their secondary structure includes four short double-helical elements and three loops (D, anti-codon, and T loops). The record is from Rfam by way of RNAcentral. Lineage: Eukaryota; Metazoa; Chordata; Actinopteri; Osteoglossiformes; Osteoglossidae.
GGCUCUGUAGCUCAGUGAUUAGAGUGUUGCUUUCUGAACCAAGGGUUGUGAGUUCAAGCCUCCCUUGAGCUG